UGGGGAAUAUUGGACAAUGGGCGAAAGCCUGAUCCAGCCAUGCCGCGUGAGUGAUGAAGGCCUUAGGGUUGUAAAGCUCUUUCGGCGGGGACGAUAAUGACGGUACCCGCAGAAGAAGCCCCGGCUAACUUCGUGCCAGCAGCCGCGGUAAUACGAAGGGGGCUAGCGUUGUUCGGAAUCACUGGGCGUAAAGCGCGCGUAGGCGGGCUGUUAAGUCGGGGGUGAAAUCCUGAGGCUCAACCUCAGAAUUGCCUUCGAUACUAGCAGUCUUGGAGUCCGGGAGAGGUGAGUGGAACUCCUAGUGUAGAGGUGAAAUUCGUAGAUAUUAGGAAGAACACCAGUGGCGAAGGCGGCUCACUGGCCCGGUACUGACGCUGUGGCGCGAAAGCGUGGGGAGCAAACAGG
Molecule: ribosomal RNA, 405 nt
Filed under: uncultured bacterium
Lineage: Bacteria
Description: bacterial SSU rRNA
Rfam family: Bacterial small subunit ribosomal RNA
Source: RNAcentral